AACGAACGCUGGCGGCGUGCCUAACACAUGCAAGUCGAGCGCGAAAGUUCCUUCGGGAGCGAGUAGAGCGGCGGACGGGUGAGUAAUACAUAGGUAAUCUACCUCGAGCUUGGGAUAACCCCGCGAAAGUGGGGCUAAUACCGGAUAAGACCACGUAAUUAUUUUACGGGGUAAAAGGUGGCUUAUUUUUUAAAUGAGCUAUCACUUGAGGAUGAGCCUGUGGCCUAUCAGCUAGUUGGCGGGGUAAGAGCCCACCAAGGCUAUGACGGGUAGCUGGUCUGAGAGGACGACCAGCCACACUGGGACUGAGACACGGCCCAGACUCCUACGGGAGGCAGCAGUGGGGAAUCUUGCGCAAUGGGCGAAAGCCUGACGCAGCGACGCCGCGUGGAGGGUGAAGGUCUUCGGAUUGUAAACUCCUGUUAAGAGGGAAGAAAUCCUUUUAUUUAAUAGAUAAAGGGGAUGACGGUACCUUUAGAGAAAGUCCCGGCUAACUUCGUGCCAGCCGCCGCGGUAA
This 517-nucleotide ribosomal RNA is filed under the name uncultured bacterium. Its description in RNAcentral is "partial 16S ribosomal RNA". It matches the Rfam family "Bacterial small subunit ribosomal RNA", at positions 29 to 523 of the family's 1533-position model. The record is from RNAcentral.